This is a long non-coding RNA of Bombus pascuorum, 974 nucleotides long. RefSeq lists it as uncharacterized. The transcript has 4 exons. The record is from RefSeq and is a predicted model, not a curated record. NCBI's taxonomy places the organism in Eukaryota, Metazoa, Arthropoda, Insecta, Hymenoptera, Apidae.
AGAGAAUUCUCUUUUUACCACACAGAUAAAAUACGAUCCUCUCUGUUCCAUUUUACCAGCUGAUAAAUAAUUGUAAAAACCGCUUUGAAGACUAGACGAGGUAAAUACACGAGAUUGCCUCGCACGUUACCCGUCGCUCGUCCACGGAAGCGAAAAAAGGGAACAGAUUAAAAGUUGGAGCGGCGACGCUCGACAUCGGAUAGCGCAGAGGCAUGAAGCGUGCGACGCGACGCGUCGCGGAGACAUGAGAGGAGCCGACAGGGGCUAGGGGUCUGCGAGCUAUUUGUACACCGAAUGGAAAACGCGCCAAACACUCGCCUCCAGACGAGAGGAACCACGCUGGACCACGGGAAUGGGACUAGCUGGUUGACUGUUCGUCGCCGACGACUGCAUCAUGAUCGACUGUACAGUGAGAACCGGUGACGUGGUUGCCACGGGGGUGACGGUGUCCGAAUGGUGAUGAUGAUGAUGGUACAGAGCCGACGCGUAAUACUGCUGAUGAUGGUGAUGGUGGUGCGGAUGAUGCGCAUAAUGGCGACGUUGGCGACGGAGACGACUGCGAAUUGAUCAAGUUGCAGCUGGUGGCGAGGAUGUCGUGAACCGUGUGAGAACUCGGCCACUGUAGACCGACGGAAGUAGCCGUCUGAUGGCCGACACUGGGAUGAAUAGCGGUCGGGGAAGACGGUGACAGCUUGCCCGGCGUCGUCGGCCCAACUGGAAACGCACCGGUACCAAAUUGGUAUGGAGAGGUUCGUUCGAAUUCGAUUAUUCAGCGCUCGUAUCAAGAUGGAAGAAAGAGACGCGACUGUUGCCUGAUAUCCCGCGAGCUCGCUGCUAGAACUGAACGCACACUUCAAGUUGCGCUGGUGGAGAACGAAGUUUUCUUUUUUGGACAGCGGGCGGCGGCGUUGCGUGAUAAGGCGUCGGCGGAUACGGGACAGGACAAAGGGCGGCUCCAGCCGCGGCCGCGGCCG